This 2852-nucleotide long non-coding RNA is filed under the name Zea mays. RNAcentral describes it as "long non-coding RNA (ZMAY_LNC003252)". Lineage: Eukaryota; Viridiplantae; Streptophyta; Magnoliopsida; Poales; Poaceae. The record is from RNAcentral.
GUCACAAUAAUCAGAGUAUUUAUUACAUAGUGGAAGUCUUACAAAAUAAAAGAUAAAUAUAAUAGGAUCUAAAAUCCAUCCUUGGCGCCAGAAAGUCAACUGGGAGAUGCCACCUAGAUCGAAUCGAACUCCUCGAUACGUGGCUCCACUUGAACCACCUGUUCUUCUCCUGUGGGGGUGUGAGACAGCAAGAGUGAGCUCACACAUGUUCAUCGCUCAACAAGUUGUGGGGAAUAAUGUGCAUGAACUCUCCAAAGGUGGGAGUUCAUGUGAUGUGUAAGGCUGAUCGACAAUAGGGGUUAAAGCUGAGCAUUGCUUUUAAUAAGUUGGUCAAAAUUUUAUUAGCAAUUACUAGAUGUAAGUAAAUACCAAACCAUAAUGAAAAUAAUAGAACAAAAUUAAUAAUAAUACCAUGCAAUGCAUAUGACAAAGAAGUUCCAUAAUUUAAUCAUCAGAGAAUCCUGAGCUGCUCAUGACCGCGAGCACGACUAGUAUACCAGUUUUACACUCUGCAGAGGUUGUACCCUGUACCCACAAGUCGUGUACCCCAUGUUGCCAGGGUUAGCUAGACCCUUAGACACUACCGAGGUGAAUGGCUAGGGAUCCACUACGAGGCCUUUACAAAGUUCCACUAGCUUCCGAAAACCCGCUACAGUUUAUGGGAAGAGCACUUGCAAGAAUCCCCCGUUUGACCGCCAUCGCAGCAAAAUCAACCCGAGAACCUCCUUGCAUGCAAUCCCCUACUUCCCUUGCCCCUUUCGGGUAAGGUAGUCUUCCACUAGCUUUCCUAGUUAGUUGGCCAAGGGCGUCCCAUUAAACCCUUGUGGUGGCACAUGUUUCUCAAGUUAAGCUCCAUGUUCCAAUUAACAUUAAUGAUCUUAACAUGAACAUGAAUAGAAUAACAAAAUAACUGGAACAUGGAUAUAAUGAAAUAUUUAUCCCAAAACCAUGUAAAGCAAUAGCAAAACUACCCAAGUGAUUAAGGGAUAACAAGGUAAAGAGAUAAACAAUCUAGGGUGACCUAUCGGGUCCCAUCAAAAUUAAGCCUAUGCAUGGUAAAUGAUUAUAAAGAAUAUUAUUGAGUAACAAAAGUGGUCAAGGGCACAACUUGCCUGGCACUUGGGAUUCCAGUUAUCAGGGUGAUUCUUCAGAUCCUCGUGACCGCACUACUAGUCGUAGCAAUACAAACAAACAGGGUAUAUACAAAAUUAACAUCACACCAAACAUAUGUACAAACUAAAUAAUAAUAUUUUACGCGUUGCUACGAGAUCGCGGGAUCGAGAACUACUGAGAUCGAAGUUACGGUUAUGGAGUUAUGAUUUCAUGGAGGAUUUAUGUGAUUAAAAUGUUAAACUAUACUAUAAAUUGGUUAAUAUAAAUCAUAUAAGAGGUUAUUCUAUAAAUAAUUAUCUCAACUUUAAUCUAAGUUAUAAAUUGAUUAAAGAUUAUCUAGUUAAAUUAUAACCAUAAAAUUAGAAUACUAUAUUAAUAUUAAAUAAGUUAAUCCAAUAGACAUAGAUUAACCCAAUUAUAAAAGUAUGGGAUAUCGUAUAAUAAAUGUUGCUAUUGUGUAGUAGAUAUUUAUACGAAGCUAACGCAACUGGAACGAGUCAAAUCGGAUUUAAAACGGAGGAGAUACGAAUUUCCUAAGGUUUUAUGUAUUUGAUACGAGAUUAAUUAAGACAGUAAUUUUAAUACAGUUUUCAUGUCAAACCAGAGACACUAUGUGAUAAACAAUAAUAUUAUAGAAUUAUAGAAAUUGGAAUGGGUCAAUUUGAAGUUCAUAUGAAUUUUAUAUGAAUUAAACAAAUGCUAGCAUUUAUUUUCACAUUAAAAUCAAUUUCUAAUCACUUUUUCUGAAUUUUAUAACUCUCUGGACUGGGCAUCAAAUACUGCAAACUACAGGGGCCUCGGGGUAAGAAUCUCAAGACACAUUGUACAGCUAUAAUGGACGGCAGGUUCAUUUCCUAAUUCUUCGGGGUCUCUUUAGAAAAAAUGCACGGCCGACGGGUAUGAUAAGUUCCCAGUUGCACGAUCCUACGAGGAUGGCUUAGAUUGGAUCCGCAACCCAGCGAACCGGUACUCUCCCGUGGCUUCGGAUCCAAGACCUACGGUCACGAUCUGACGAGGUACGUUUUAAAUCAAGACCGUCUGAUCCAGAAACAAGCGCCAGGAUCUAACCUAUCCAAGCGCUAUUCCUCAUCUAAUCUACGCCGCCCAAAACAAGAUCAACGGCCCACGCCGUUCGUCCCCAACAGACGCGCACCCCAGGCGGCGCCGCCCCACUCCCGGUGGUGGGCUCACCGGAGCUAGCCAAUCCGGUGCCCCAAGGCCUAAUCCCCAACCCUAGCAGCGAUGGUAUGGUGGCAAGAUCAUGCCGAACCCGACCUGAGGAACGGUGAACCAACGACGAGCACGUAGAUGACGAAUUACGCGCAUGCGUAUCCACGACGCGUCAAAUCACCUCGGCGAGGAAUUCUCGGCCAACGACGCGCGGCAAUCGACAGCGCUUACUACUACACGUAUACGACUUCAAGGCGAACGGAGUAGGUGAGGCCAUACCGGCAUUGGAGGUGCUGACCAGGCCAGCCACGGCGUGAGCAACUCCGCGGCGGAAGGUAGGUCGACGGCGAGGAAUUAAGUCAGCUCAGUUGAUGAUUCCCCAAUGUCCCGGCCACGUCCACCAUCCCCAAGCCCGGAGAAGCGCGAGAGAACCACACCGUAGAUCCUAUCGACGGCGAGAUGGAGAUCACACGCGGCGAACCGAGCUCGUCCACGCCGCACCCUCACUUCACUCAGUUCUCGAUUGCUUCAGUCGGGGUCUGGCAAAACGGGCGCACAGGAGGUCGACG